AGCAGCCGCGGUAAUUCCAGCUCCAAUAGCGUAUAUUAAAGUUGUUGCAGUUAAAAAGCUCGUAGUUGAAUUUCGGGAUCAAUGGGUUGGUCAUGCCCUCGGUAUGUACUGAUUUCAUUGGUUCUCACCUUCUAAGGAACCAUGAUGUCAUUUAUUUGAUGUUGUGGGAAAUUAGGACUGUUACCUUGAAAAAAUUAGAGUGUUUAAAGCAGGCUAACGCUUGAAUACAUUAGCAUGGAAUAAUGAAAUAGGACAUCCGAUUCUAUUUUGUUGGUUUCUAGGAUCGAUGUAAUGAUUAAUAGGGAUAGUUGGGGGCAUUAGUAUUCAAUUGUCAGAGGUGAAAUUCUUGGAUUUAUUGAAGACUAACUACUGCGAAAGCAUUUGCCAAGGAUGUUUUCAUUAAUCAAGAACGAAAGUUAGGGGAUCGAAGACGAUCAGAUACCGUCGUAGUCUUAACCAUAAACUAUGCCGACUAGGGAUCGGAUGAUGCUUAUUUUUUAAUGA
This 504-nucleotide small RNA is filed under the name uncultured Glomus. RNAcentral describes it as "SSU rRNA". It matches the Rfam family "Eukaryotic small subunit ribosomal RNA", at positions 569 to 1077 of the family's 1831-position model. The record is from RNAcentral. Lineage: Eukaryota; Fungi; Glomeromycota; Glomeromycetes; Glomerales; Glomeraceae.